This 697-nucleotide ribosomal RNA is filed under the name Hebeloma mesophaeum. RNAcentral describes it as "eukaryotic LSU rRNA". The record is from RNAcentral. Lineage: Eukaryota; Fungi; Basidiomycota; Agaricomycetes; Agaricales; Hymenogastraceae.
AAGUCGUAACAAGGUUUCCGUAGGUGAACCUGCGGAAGGAUCAUUAUUGAAUGAACUUGGUGUGGUUGUUGCUGGCCCUUUCGGGGGCAUGUGCACACCCAUCAUCCUCAUCUCUCCACCUGUGCACCUCUUGUAGACUUGGAUUGACUUUCCGAGGCAACUCGGUCGGGAGGACUUGCUGGCAYUAGCUGGCUUUCCUUGCAUUUCCAAGUCUAUGUUUUUUCAUAUACCCCAUUGAAUGUAACAGAAUGUAACAUAUUGGGCCUUUGUGCCUAUAAAAACUUAUACAACUUUCAGCAACGGAUCUCUUGGCUCUCGCAUCGAUGAAGAACGCAGCGAAAUGCGAUAAGUAAUGUGAAUUGCAGAAUUCAGUGAAUCAUCGAAUCUUUGAACGCACCUUGCGCUCCUUGGUAUUCCGAGGAGCAUGCCUGUUUGAGUGUCAUUAAAUUCUCAACUAUUAUCAGCUUUUGCUGAUGAUGGCUUGGAUAUGGGGGUUUAUUUUGCUGGCUUCACAGARUGUCAGCUCCCCUUAAAUGCAUUAGCCGGUGCCCCGCGUGGACUGUCUAUUGGUGUGAUAAUUAUCUACGCCGUGGACAUCUACAAUCAUAUGGGUUUGYRCUGCUUCCAACCGUCUGUUUACUCAGACAAUACAUGACAAUUUGACCUCAAAUCAGGUAGGACUACCCGCUGAACUUAA